Molecule: ribosomal RNA, 193 nt
Filed under: Ligilactobacillus murinus
Lineage: Bacteria; Bacillati; Bacillota; Bacilli; Lactobacillales; Lactobacillaceae
Description: Lactobacillus murinus partial 16S ribosomal RNA
Rfam family: Bacterial small subunit ribosomal RNA
Source: RNAcentral
AUCGCGGAUCAGCAUGCCGCGGUGAAUACGUUCCCGGGCCUUGUACACACCGCCCGUCACACCAUGAGAGUUUGUAACACCCAAAGCCGGUGGGGUAACCUUUUGGAGCCAGCCGUCUAAGGUGGGAUAGAUGAUUAGGGUGAAGUCGUAACAAGGUAGCCGUAGGAGAACCUGCGGCUGGAUCACCUCCUUU